GACCAUUUCUCUGCUGAUGUUUGGGGGAGCUGUGACAGCCAAGCACUUCCAGAUGUAGGUUCAGACCGUGCUGACUAAGCAAGCUUCAUCUGCUGAUGAAGACCAGUUGAAAGCUCCACAACAAGCAUCCAAAACGAUGAAGAUGCUGCAGGCAUUGGAGAGGUCACUGAGAAAAUAGAAGAUCUACCAGAUGUCACUGCAGCAAUCAGAGAGUUCACCAAUCUGCCUUCCAUUUAAAGAGUUAUCCUGACUGUUUCCCAGCUACAGACCAUCAAGCAAGGGUUCUGCUGUGUUAUUACUAUGAAGUUCAUCGAGGAGCCGGUCUUCACACAGUGUUGCCGAAGCAUUAUGGGCUGCAAAACAUGUGGAACAGUGGCAGGAGACCUCUGUGCACUGUGCAAAAUGUAGAGGGAACACUGCAGGCAACAGCACAUUUAAAGUUAAUGGUCUGUCAGAGGCAUUUUCUGUUCUGAGAUCCCUUUUUGAAGAGGAGUAACAUUUUGCACUUUUAUACUCACAAAGAGGCAUGUUGUAUUUGAGUUUGUUUUAUUGAAUCAAAAAUUUUGGUAAGAGUUCUUAUAGUAGUGCUGUGAAUGUAUUUACAUGUUUGGGCUGGAUGAUGUCAUAUUGGUGUUCAGCAUAAACUGUCAAGAAGGAAGUUGAUGAUUUGACUACUAUUCUUAUUGACAUUUUCUUUUAGUGAUAUUAACACUAAAAGAGGCAUCCAGAGGCAUCACAGCACUGUGCCAGUGUGUGCGCACAUACCACACUUGCCCCCCAUUGUUAAUGCUGCCGUUACUGUUUUGCCUUGGAACAGCAUUGAGUGAAGCAUCAGAGUGCAUUAUCUCUCCAUCAGGGAGAAAUACACCUGAUGCGCACGUCACACAGAGUGAGGGAAGUACCUGCCUGUCGUGUUUUCCUUCAUUGAUCUCCACAUGAAAGACGAGGAGGACUGAACACAAUGACAUGAAUAUUGCUGCUUCAACAUUUACGACCAGCAGUGGUGAUUUCACGGACCUCUCCGCUGGCUCUGCCGUUUUCUGUACCGUCCCCAAUGGGCCAAACCCCCGUUUAUGGAGGGUUUGAUGACGUAGAGGGUUGAGGCAGGAUAUCACAGCUUCCUGAUUGCUGCUACACAGCUGGUCGCUUGCCCACUGGCAUAAUUUUACAAGGUGCGACGGCAUGAAUGUGUAUUGACAGAGUGGAUGGACAGGACACUGAAACUGGAUCAUUCUCUCCAGCUCUGCCGUGUUCCUCCUCCAUUCAUGGUUGUCAAGGAAGUGAGUCUAUCUUCCUGGGAGGAAAUAGAUUCCCUCUUGGAUAAAACAGACUGUGUCUGUCGUUCUCAACAUGACAGACACAAGGUGUUUUACUCCACGUACUUCCUGGUCACUAAGAAGAUGGGAGAUUUCAAACCCAGUUUGGAUCUCUGCACCCUAAACUGGUGCAUCGCUUGCAAAACCUUUCACAUGCUAACCAUCCAGCGGUUACUGGAGCUGGUUUAUUGCUGAAGCAACCACACAAACUAUUGAAUUGUACUCUUGUGGAUGAAGUCUGUAAAUAAGGCCUUCUCUCCUGAUUAUGGUAAUGAGAUGACAGCAGCUCCAGCAUGAAGAGCGUCAAAUAAAACUCCUUGCCAUGAUCAACUUGCACUUGGUCCCACA
This is a long non-coding RNA of Thunnus maccoyii (southern bluefin tuna), 1664 nucleotides long. RefSeq lists it as uncharacterized. The record is from RefSeq and is a predicted model, not a curated record. The transcript has 4 exons. NCBI's taxonomy places the organism in Eukaryota, Metazoa, Chordata, Actinopteri, Scombriformes, Scombridae.